Molecule: non-coding RNA, 3097 nt
Organism: Meleagris gallopavo (turkey)
Lineage: Eukaryota; Metazoa; Chordata; Aves; Galliformes; Phasianidae
Source: RefSeq, a predicted model, not a curated record
ACACCUCCAGGGACAGCGACUCCACCACCUCCCUGUGCAGCCCAUUCUAGUGCCUGACCACAAUUUCUGAGUUUUUCCUAAUGUUCAACCUGAACCUCCCUUGGCACAACUUAAAGCCAUUCCCUCUCACUCUAUCACUGCUACCUGGAAGAAGAUGCUGAACCCCACCUUGCCACAACCUCCUUUCAGGUAGUUGUAGAGGGCAAGAAGGUCUCCCCUGAGCAUCUUCUUCUCCAGACUAAACAAUCUCAGUUCCCUCAAUUGCUCCUCAUCAGGCUUUUUCUCCAGACUCUUCACAGCUUCAUUGCCCUUCUCUGGACACGCUCCAAUGUCUUUCUUGUAGCAAUGGGCCCAAAACUGAACACAGUACUCAAGAUGUGGCCUCACCAGAGUUGAGUACAGGUACUUCCUGUCCUGCUUGCAACACUAUUUCUUACACAAGCCAUUGGUCUUCUUGGUCACCUGGGACACUGCUGGCUCAUGUUCAGCUAAGCAUCAACCAACACCUCCAGGACCUUUUCCCCUGCACAGUCUUCCAUCCACUCUGCCCCAAGCCUGUAGUAAUGAAUGAGGUUGUCACCAAAGUGCAGGACCUGGCACUUGGUCUUGCUUCAUCCCAUUGGCCUCAGUCCAGUGAUCCAGCCUGUCCAGAUCCCUCUGUAGGGUUUUCUUAUUGUCAGGUAGGUUGUCACUUCCUUCCAACAUGGUGUCAUCUGCAAAUUUACUGAGAGUGCACUCAAUUCCCUCAUCCAGAUAAUCAAUAAAGAUAUUAAAUUCAGCUAGUCCAUAGUGGCAUCAUGGACUUCAGAGAAUUUACAACACUAUGGAAAUCAGUGCAAGGUUUAAACUAGCUAAGAAGUUGGAUAGAGAUAUGAAGCAGAAUACCUAUAUAUGUUGCUUCCCCAGUUCAGUUGCAAUGGGGAACUGUGGUAGCUAAACAAAAAUUGCCUUGAAUCCGUUGCUACUAUGGAUAGGUCUGUAUUCAUGCUGUAUUAUUAGCUAUGUUAAAAUAUAUAGUCUGAAUUUUAUGAUUGCUAACACUUUCUUAAAUGUUACUGAGAUUACAGAGAUCAAAGAUUGAAAGUUUAAGUGCUAUAUCAUAAGCUGCGAAGAGUAGCAUUAACAGCAUUUUUCCUAAAAAAUGUAGGAUUCCUUCCACAGAUCCUUAAGAAAAGAUGCUCACAACAUUGAUACCUGCAUGGUGUCUGAACAUAGAAGGAAUGCUGUUGAAUUAUUCUAGCAAUUGUGUGCCCUUUUGAUUACUUUCUGGAGAAAAUAUUUUUUUAAAGUGACUUUUCCAUAAGAUUGGCAAAAAGUUGAAAUGAAUGUUGGAGUUUGGGGAAGUUAUCCACCAUCAAAUUAAAAUAAUGAUAUAAAACAAUUCACCUGAAUUUGUCUGUAGCCAAGGAAAGGUGCAGAAGCAACACUUUUAUAGAAUGCCAACAAAAGCAAAAAAAAAAGAACUGUUUUCUAAGAUUCUGUAAUAAGCCUGCUAAAAGCUGAGAAGAAACGUAUCUGUUUUGCUAAAUCAGAUGAACUUACUCACAGUAAUUUCCUACUGGGUUGCUGUAUCAGACUGAAUUUGGCAUACUGUUCUUGGAAAGAGAACUUUGUUAUUAACUAUCCAAACUCCUUCCUUUUAUCUUUCUGAUAAAAGUCUUCAGAACUCAGGUAGUGAGUUGUUUAGUAGUUGGUGACAGAUCCUCCUUUCUUAUUUCAGAGCACAAAUAUUAUUAAGAGAAAAAGAACUUCAGUCAGAUGAAAUACUAUAAUAUUCCCUGAAGAAAGUUUUUAAUCAGCAGCUUCAAAGGAGCUGCUCUCUUAAUGCGCAAAUGAAAUGUUGUAAAUUCAGCCAAUGGCUUUCAUGUUGAAUUUGCAGACUUCCUUACAGCUCAAGAGCGCAAAAGACUGAUGUCAAUGGCCUGUAGGCACUUACGCUUAUUGCCCAGAAGCCAUGGGAUUGAAAAGUUAUUUGCAAUUUAAUCAGCUGGAGGAUAAUCUAUAGGUAGUAAUGAUAAAAAUAAUUAGCUCGGUGCCAGUGAGCAGCUGACAUGAAAAUCAUACAUAGAGCUUGAUUUAUAUACUCAGCAUAGCUUUAUUCACACACAAAAUAGCAACUUCCUCUCCAAAAAAGUAUCAUUUUUUAGCCCAAGUUUUUAGGCUUGUUUGAAUUCUAUUUGCUUGGCUAAGCUAAAUGCAAUUCCUGGCAGCAGCAUUUCGGCAUGUUCAUUAAGUGCAAUACUAUAUCAUUGCUUUAAAAACAUAGUGAAUUGUAAAUAAGCAGUGAACAUGAUGACUCCACAAAAGCCAACCCAGCACUAACCAGUAGUUUAGCUGCAGGCAAUUUCAAUCGUUAAUGCUUUUACUGUGUGCUGGUUUCAGCAGUUUUGAAGGUCUUUCUCCUGAGCAGUGCUGUUCUGAUGCUGAGUUGCCAUUGCCUGCUGACUGAAGUUGAAUCAAUCUGCAAGUCAGGACAGUGCUUCCAGACAACCUCCAUAGCAACCUGAUCGUGACAGUGUGUCCUGCUGACAGGCACUUCUUUAUUUUAAAAGAAGUAUUUUAUCUAUACAAUUGAAAGAAAAUCCCUUUGGUAUAAUCAUACUUUACUCAUAUCAAGAUUGUCAUUCUAGUUCAGAAGUAAAGCCGUGCUGGUUUCAAAGUGUGGUGUUCAGCCUCUGUGUUGACAUCUGGUUAUCACAUGAAUCAGCUUGACAGAGAUGCAUCUGAAACAAGGAAUGCUGGAACUGGAAGGAUCUUUUGAAUAUGCAUAAACUAAAAAGGGAAAAACCAAACGGGAAAAAGAAAAAAGAAAAAAAGUGUGGCUAGCUUCAUGUAGAGAUGGAUUUUCUAUUCCACGGAAACUAAUUUGCCUCCAAUGCAAAUUCUCUGUUGAAAGGAUGUGCCUACACUGCAGCUGAAAAUGCUUCUGACAUAGGUUAUGUGGGUACUAAAGCAGUAUGGGCAGCAAAAUAACAGUAACAGCAAGAAUUUAAAUCACAGAGACUAUUACAAAUUCAAUCAAGGGCUCCCUGUCGAAUUCAGAAACACCUGGUUUCUUGGUGUUUAGGCUUGUAUUUUAAUAAAUGUGUUGACAACA